GCAGCCGCGGUAAUACGUAUGGGGCAAGCGUUAUCCGGAUUUACUGGGUGUAAAGGGAGCGUAGACGGUACGGCAAGCCCGAUGUGAAAACCCGCAGCUCAACUGCGGGAUUGCAUUAGGAACUGUCGAACUAGAGUGUCGGAGAGGUAAGUGGAAUUCCUAGUGUAGCGGUGAAAUGCGUAGAUAUUAGGAGGAACACCAGUGGCGAAGGCGGCUUACUGGACGAUGACUGACGUUGAGGCUCGAAAGCGUGGGGAGCAAACAGGAUUAGAUACCCC
This 278-nucleotide ribosomal RNA is filed under the name uncultured bacterium. RNAcentral describes it as "partial 16S ribosomal RNA". It matches the Rfam family "Bacterial small subunit ribosomal RNA", at positions 511 to 788 of the family's 1533-position model. The record is from RNAcentral.